AGUGAACGCUGGCGGUAGGCCUAACACAUGCAAGUCGAACGGCAGCACAGUAAGAGCUUGCUCUUACGGGUGGCGAGUGGCGGACGGGUGAGGAAUACAUCGGAAUCUACUUUUUCGUGGGGGAUAACGUAGGGAAACUUACGCUAAUACCGCAUACGACCUACGGGUGAAAGCAGGGGAUCUUCUGACCUUGCGCGAUUGAAUGAGCCGAUGUCGGAUUAACUAGUUGGCGGGGUAAAUGCCCACCAAGGCGACGAUCCGUAGCUGGUCUGAGAGGAUGAUAAGCCACACUGGAACUGAGACACGGUCCAGACUACUACGGGAGGCAGCAGUGGGGAAUAUUGGACAAUGGGCGCAAGCCUGAUCCAGCCAUACCGCGUGGGUGAAGAAGGCCUUCGGGUUGUAAAGCCCUUUUGUUGGGAAAGAAAAGCAGCAGGUUAAUACCCCGCUGUUCUGACGGUACCCAAAGAAUAAGCACCGGCUAACUUCGUG
Molecule: ribosomal RNA, 492 nt
Filed under: uncultured bacterium
Lineage: Bacteria
Description: partial 16S ribosomal RNA
Rfam family: Bacterial small subunit ribosomal RNA
Source: RNAcentral